AAGAUUUUUUUUUAAGUUUAUUUAUUUAUUUUUGAGAGAGAUCGCGUGAGAGAGUGGGAGUGGAGGUAGGGCAGAGAGAGAGAGAGAGAGAGGGAGAGAGAGAAUCCCACCAGCGCAGAGCCCAAUGCAGGCCCGAUGUGGGACCCAAACCCACCAACGAAGAGAUCGUGAUCCCAGUGGAAGUCAGACACUUACCCAACUGAGCCACCCAGGCACGCCGAAGGUGGAAAAUAUUUGACCCCGGCAGUCUGGUUCCAGAUCCUGGGCUGACUGUUCUACAUCACAACGGAAGGCCCAUAGCUCCCUGGUUACCCCUGUGUAACCAGCAUUGAGCACAGUGCUUGGCAGGGUGUAAGCAUCAAUAAACACUUGUCGAAUGAAGAUACACCUGAAUGAUCCCUCCAUACUAGGCAGUAUGUAUGUCUUCAUAGUGCUCGGUGCUUCAGAAAGACGGAUGAACAAUUCCGGGUAUUAUAAUGAGUCCAGGUUUUAUUAGCACCUUGGCAUCUCCCUGCAGUUAGUCUCUGCUUCUCAUUCCAGGUGGAAACACCGAGACAAAACAGAAAAGUCAAGAAUGGAGUGUUUCAUUCUUCCCCAGACAGCAAUUCAUACAGAUGUCUACUGGGUAUGCUUCACACCCAGUGCAGAGCCCAAUGCAGGGCUUGAACUCAUAACCCUGAGAUCAAGACCUGGAUGCUUAACCAACUGAGCCACACAGGUGCCCCACCCAGAAAGUCAACAAAGAACAUGAAUUGGUUAACCUUAAAGAGAGCUAUCUUUAGUGGCCUGGAAUUUAAAGGACAAAUAAGAGAAGGAUGUCUUUAAUAAACAAGUGAUGUGUCAUUUGGGACAAAUGCAGCGUGACAUGUGGGUUCCUCCAACACAGUCAUCAGGAUACUUCAGCAUACCUGGCAUAGUUCACAUUUGCAAGGUAUAUGUGUGUGUAUGUGUCAACCUUAGUGUUUAAUUUCACUACUCGUCCGUCUCAGCAGGGCUCGUGCUUCCGGCGGUCUUUCUGCCCGUGAGGACAGGUAUAUACACAGAUUCUUCUUGUGCCUGAUCUAUAUUUUGACAUGUGGCUUACACAGGUCAGACGUUUGGCUCGCCAGAAUCUGUGACCAGGAUAGCAUAUUAUUAUCUGGCCCACCAGGGGAUUGGACCCAAAGCGUAGCCAACUAUUCUCACCAAUCAGUUCAGGAAAUGUGACAUUUUCACAUCAGCUGGGCCAUUCAUGCUACUUCUUUGUGUCUCCGUUUCUACAUUUUUUCCCCCAGAGAUAAUAACACCUCCGUGACACUUAAUGGAAGCCAAUAUUUUGCCCGAUAGAAUAUGUUGACUGCAGGCUGUUAACUGGUUUAUAAGAUAAUCCAAUUAACUGGAGAGAAAGACAGUAUACAAUGUUAAAAACAGUUGCAUUGAUUAAAACCUAAUUACAACUAAGUUGAAAACUGGCUUUUUUUUAAAAGAACUUUUUCAGUUUGGAGGAAAUUCAAUAGGGGGAAAAGAAAAGUAAAGAAAUUGAAAGAAAUAGGAAGAGAAUUUUUCCUGUUUUUGAGUCAAAACUUUUUGAGGAAACAUAUCUAUUCCAACCCCUGUUUUUCUUACUCAUCAAUAAAAUGCAGCAUCCCAUAAAAUUUGCUAUAAUAUGAUGCGCCAGAGUUCUUUAAUUAUCAGAUAAAGUCUCUUUUCCUGUUACAUUAUUAUUGUAAUUAGAGUGUACUUUUCAGCUGGCC
Molecule: long non-coding RNA, 1733 nt
Organism: Acinonyx jubatus (cheetah)
Lineage: Eukaryota; Metazoa; Chordata; Mammalia; Carnivora; Felidae
Exons: 5
Source: RefSeq, a predicted model, not a curated record